Molecule: transfer RNA, 72 nt
Organism: Camelus ferus (Wild Bactrian camel)
Lineage: Eukaryota; Metazoa; Chordata; Mammalia; Artiodactyla; Camelidae
Rfam family: tRNA
About the family: Transfer RNA (tRNA) molecules are approximately 80 nucleotides in length. Their secondary structure includes four short double-helical elements and three loops (D, anti-codon, and T loops).
Source: Rfam
GAGGGUAUAUCUCAGGGGUAGAGUACAUGCUUUGCAUGCAUGAGGUCCUGGGUUUAAUCCCCAGUACCUCCG